UGACCAGUAUAGGGUGACUGUUUACUAAAAACACACGUCUAUACAAAGUCGUAAAACCAUGUAUGGAACUGAAACUAAUACUAAGAAAGCAAGAAAGUUGGUGACCUGAUGACAAGGAAACCGGCAUCAAAUGUAAUUACCUGUCUUAAGGUAGCAAAAUUCCUUGUUAGAUAAGUUCUAACAUAUAGGAAGUACGUAAUAAUCUCAUA
Molecule: ribosomal RNA, 209 nt
Filed under: Prunus dulcis (almond)
Lineage: Eukaryota; Viridiplantae; Streptophyta; Magnoliopsida; Rosales; Rosaceae
Description: rRNA LSU_rRNA_bacteria
Source: Rfam by way of RNAcentral